GACGAACGCUGGCGGCGUGCUUAACACAUGCAAGUCGAACGGAAAGGCCCUGCUUUUGUGGGGUGCUCGAGUGGCGAACGGGUGAGUAACACGUGAGUAACCUGCCCUUGACUUUGGGAUAACUUCAGGAAACUGGGGCUAAUACCGGAUAGGAGCUCCUGCUGCAUGGUGGGGGUUGGAAAGUUUCGGCGGUUGGGGAUGGACUCGCGGCUUAUCAGCUUGUUGGUGGGGUAGUGGCUUACCAAGGCUUUGACGGGUAGCCGGCCUGAGAGGGUGACCGGCCACAUUGGGCCUGCGAUACGGCCCAGACUCCUACGGGACGCAGCAGUGGGGAAUAUUGCACAAUGGGCGGAAGCCUGAUGCAGCAACGCCGCGUGCGGGAUGACGGCCUUCGGGUUGUAAACCGCUUUCGCCUGUGACGAAGCGUGAGUGACGGUAAUGGGUAAAGAAGCACCGGCUAACUACGUG
RNAcentral lists this ribosomal RNA (468 nucleotides) under uncultured bacterium. RNAcentral describes it as "partial 16S ribosomal RNA". It matches the Rfam family "Bacterial small subunit ribosomal RNA", at positions 28 to 507 of the family's 1533-position model. The record is from RNAcentral.